This 60-nucleotide transfer RNA is filed under the name Trigoniophthalmus alternatus. Its description in RNAcentral is "tRNA-Gly". The record is from RNAcentral. Lineage: Eukaryota; Metazoa; Arthropoda; Insecta; Archaeognatha; Machilidae.
CUAUUAAUAUACACUGUAUAUUUGACUUCCAAUCAAAAAGACUAAUCUAUUUUAGAUAGA